This is a long non-coding RNA of Sander lucioperca (pikeperch), 124 nucleotides long. RefSeq lists it as uncharacterized. NCBI's taxonomy places the organism in Eukaryota, Metazoa, Chordata, Actinopteri, Perciformes, Percidae. The transcript has 2 exons. The record is from RefSeq and is a predicted model, not a curated record.
UUUCUUUCAACCAAAUUGUAAAAAAAAAAUAUCCAUGGAUGGUUCCUUACAACGCUCUUCACAAGUUAAAUACAUGAUCAGGUCACUACUUUAAAUGAAUUUGGGUGUUUUAGUCAAUAGCAUU